CGUAAAAACACCGGUUCCCAUAAGAUCACCGAAGUUAAGCAAUGUCGAGCCUUGUUAGUACCUAAAUGAGUGACCACUUGAGAAGA
Molecule: non-coding RNA, 86 nt
Organism: Acanthosepion pharaonis
Lineage: Eukaryota; Metazoa; Mollusca; Cephalopoda; Sepiida; Sepiidae
Source: the annotation of a GenBank genome assembly